GGGAUCCUACGGGGCGCAGUAGGGAAUCUUCCACAAUGGACGAAAGUCUGAUGGAGCAACGCCGCGUGAGUGAAGAAGGGUUUCGGCUCGUAAAGCUUUGUUGGUAGUGAAGAAAGAUAGAGGUAGUAACUGGCCUUUAUUUGACGGUAAUUACUUAGAAAGUCACGGCUAACUACGUGCCAGCAGCCGCGGUAAUACGUAGGUGGCAAGCGUUGUCCGGAUUUAUUGGGCGUAAAGCGAGUGCAAGCGGUUCAAUAAGUCUGAUGUGAAAGCCUUCGGCUCAACCGGAGAAUUGCAUCAGAAAA
RNAcentral lists this ribosomal RNA (305 nucleotides) under uncultured bacterium. RNAcentral's name for it is "bacterial SSU rRNA". It matches the Rfam family "Bacterial small subunit ribosomal RNA", at positions 333 to 633 of the family's 1533-position model. The record is from RNAcentral.